CGUAUCAAUUACACUUCCAUGAGAACAAGUAAAAUGUUAAAUGUACUUUAUAUAAACAAAAUUGUCCAAUUAAAGAGUUAUUUGAUUGUCGUAUUUCAUUAUGUGAAUAUGUCGCAGCCAUUUGGAUAAAUCGGCCAUUUAAUUGGCGGUCAAGUAUGUACACACCCUAGCGAAAGAAAUUGUGAAUGAUCAAAUAAAAGUUUUGUCAAAUAUUUACAUUCAACACUUACUGCAGUUUGUUUAGAGCAGCUAAACUAGUGGGCAUCGUAUUGUUACCUCUGCAUCUCUGAGAAAAUAAUACAAACAGUUUCAGUAUAAAGAAGAAUGCAGUCAAAUUAAAGGAUGUUAGUGCAUUCAUGAAAUUUUAACUUCUAUUGCAGUGACAGUAUCUUUUGAACAUUUGUAGACGAAACGUGACAUAUGGACCGAAAAAUAGUGAUAUUAUUUUCAAUUGCAUGUUUACUGUGGAAUACAGUUUUGGUCAAUUGUGAAAAAGUUGACGCCGCAACCCUUGACAGCAUGAUAAUAAAAAUGCUAUGGACCAAAGUUUACAUAGGAUAUGAUACAAAACUGAAACAAGAGGCAAUCAAAACGCUUAGACAGUCCGGAGACUAUAAAAAAAUGAUGACACAUUUAUUGAAAGUUAAAAAAGAAAAAAUACAGCAUGUUUUAAACUUAUUAGCGGAAUUGAUAAUUACAUAUAUGAGUUAAAAUAAAGUAUAUUUUUAUCAA
Plodia interpunctella (Indianmeal moth) is the source of this 732-nucleotide long non-coding RNA. RefSeq lists it as uncharacterized. The record is from RefSeq and is a predicted model, not a curated record. The transcript is spliced from 2 exons. Lineage: Eukaryota; Metazoa; Arthropoda; Insecta; Lepidoptera; Pyralidae.